RNAcentral lists this unclassified non-coding RNA (344 nucleotides) under fungal sp. RNAcentral's name for it is "partial internal transcribed spacer region". The stretch from base 1 to 46 matches the Rfam family "Eukaryotic small subunit ribosomal RNA", at positions 1786 to 1831 of the family's 1831-position model. The record is from RNAcentral. Lineage: Eukaryota; Fungi.
AAGUCGUAACAAGGUCUCCGUUGGUGAACCAGCGGAGGGAUCAUUACAGAGUUGCAAAACUCCCAACCAUUGUGAACUUACCUCACCGUUGCUUCGGCGUCAGCCUGUUUCUUACUAUUUAAGCAAAUCGAAAGGUUUGUUUAGACACUGUAUUUUUGCUGAAGGCAAACUCUUGCUUAGUGCUCUCCUUUCAUUGAGUGCUAUUGCAAGAACUAUUUUACCUAUUUCACCCCCUUUUUGCUAGUUGACUUUAAUAUGUUGUUCUUUACGCUUGCGUAAGGUUCACACGUUUAAUUAAUUGAACGUUAAAAAUACAACUCUUAGCAAUGGAUAUCUUGGUUCUC